UGGGGAAUAUUGCACAAUGGGGGAAACCCUGAUGCAGCGACGACGCGUGAACGAAGAAGGUAUUCGUAUCGUAAAGUUCUGUCCUAUGGGAAGAUAAUGACAGUACCAUAGAAGAAAGCUCCGGCUAAAUACGUGCCAGCAGCCGCGGUAAUACGUAUGGAGCGAGCGUUGUCCGGAAUUAUUGGGCGUAAAGGGUACGCAGGCGGUUUAAUAAGUCGAAUGUUAAAGAUCGGGGCUCAACCCCGCAAAGCAUUGGAAACUGAUAAACUUGAGUAGUGGAGAGGAAAGUGGAAUUCCUAGUGUAGUGGUGAAAUACGUAGAUAUUAGGAGGAAUACCAGUAGCGAAGGCGACUUUCUGGACACAAACUGACGCUGAGGUACGAAAGCGUGGGGAGCAAACAGG
RNAcentral lists this ribosomal RNA (403 nucleotides) under bacterium. RNAcentral's name for it is "partial 16S ribosomal RNA". It matches the Rfam family "Bacterial small subunit ribosomal RNA", at positions 355 to 776 of the family's 1533-position model. The record is from RNAcentral.